AUACGAAGGUCCCAAGCGUUAUUCGGAAUCACAGGGCGUAAAGAGUACGUAGGCGGUUUGGUAAGUCAGGUGUGAAAUCCCGAAGCUCAACUUCGGAACUGCAUCCGAUACUGCCAGACUAGAGUAAUGGAGAGGCAGGUGGAAUUCUCGGUGUAGCAGUGAAAUGCGUGGAUAUCGAGAGGAAGACCAAUGGCGAAGGCAGCCUGCUGGACAUUUACUGACGCUGAGGUACGAAGGCUAGGGGAGCGAAAGGGAUUAGAAACCCCGGUAGUCC
Molecule: ribosomal RNA, 274 nt
Filed under: uncultured bacterium
Lineage: Bacteria
Description: partial 16S ribosomal RNA
Rfam family: Bacterial small subunit ribosomal RNA
Source: RNAcentral